This 271-nucleotide ribosomal RNA is filed under the name uncultured bacterium. Its description in RNAcentral is "partial 16S ribosomal RNA". It matches the Rfam family "Bacterial small subunit ribosomal RNA", at positions 524 to 794 of the family's 1533-position model. The record is from RNAcentral.
UACGUAGGGGGCGAGCGUUGUCCGGAUUUACUGGGCGUAAAGAGCGCGUAGGCGGAGACUUAAGUGUGGCCUGAAAGCCCCCGGCUCAACCGGGGAGGGUGGCUGCAAACUGGGUUUCUAGAGGGGGAUAGAGGAAAGUGGAAUUCCGGGUGUAGCGGUGAAAUGCGUAGAGAUCCGGAGGAACACCAGUGGCGAAGGCGGCUUUCUGGGUCCGCCCUGACGCUGAGGCGCGAAAGCGUGGGGAGCGAACGGGAUUAGAUACCCUAGUAGU